RNAcentral lists this long non-coding RNA (4375 nucleotides) under Xyrichtys novacula (pearly razorfish). The record is from RNAcentral. Lineage: Eukaryota; Metazoa; Chordata; Actinopteri; Labriformes; Labridae.
UUAGGGUUAGGGUUAAGGUUGGAGCUAGGGUUAGGGUUAGGGUUAGGGUUGGAGCUAGGGUUAGGGUUAGGGUUAGGGUUGGAGUUCGGGUUAGUGUUGGAGCUAGGGUUAGGGUUAGGGUUAGGGUUGGAGUUAGGGUUUGUGUUGGAGCUAGGGUUAGGGUUGGGGUUGUAGUUAGGGUUAGUGUUGGAGCUAGCGUUAGGGUUGGGCUUGGAGCUAGAAUUUUUCUGAGUGCAAUGAACCAACUCCCGAGUCUCUAGGACGUUCCUAAAAAAAAUUGAUUUUUUCCCAUAGGAAUGCAUGGGUUAGGGUUAGGGUUAGUGUUGGAGUUAGGGUUAGGGUUAGGGUUAGGGUUGGAGUUAGGGUUAGUGUUGGAGCUAGGGUUAGGGUUGGGCUUGGAGCUAGGAUUUUUCUGAGUGCAAUGAACCAACUCCCGAGUCUCUAGGACGUUCCUAAAAAAAAUUGAUUUUUUCCCAUAGGAAUGCAUGGGUUAGGGUUAGGGUUAGAGUUGGAGCUAGGGUUAGGGUUAGGGUUAGGGUUGGGUUAGGGUUAGUGCCAACCCAAUUUUUCACCUUCCAGAAUAGUGUUAGGAGCACGUUUCAGGGCACGGGGAGUCUAUAGAACCUAAUUCUGGGGGAAGUUUUUUGAAAGGUUUACUUAGGGUUAGGGUUGGAGCUAGGGUUAAGGUUGGAGCUAGGGUUAGGGUUAGGGUUAGGAUUAGGGUGGAGCUAGGGUUAGGGUUAGGGUUAGAGCUAGGGUUAGGGUUGGGGCUAGGGUUAGGGUUAGGGUUAAGGUUGGAGCUAGGGUUAGGGUUAGGGUUAGGGUUGGAGCUAGGGUUAGGGUUAGGGUUAGGGUUGGAGCUAGGGUUAGGGUUAGGGUUGGAGUUAGGGUUAGUGUUGGAGCUAGGGUUAGGGUUGGGCUUGGAGCUAGGAUUUUUCUGAGUGCAAUGAACCAACUCCCGAGUCUCUAGGACGUUCCUAAAAAAAUUUGAUUUUUUUCCCCAUAGGAAUGCAUGGGUUAGGGUUAGGGUUAGGGUUGGAGCUAGGGUUAGGGUUAGGGUUAGGGUUGGAGUAAGGGUUAGUGUUGGAGCUAGGGUUAGGGUUGGGCUUGGAGCUAGGAUUUUUCUGAGUGCAAUGAACCAACUCCCGAGUCUCUAGGACAUUCCUAAAAAAAUUUGAUUUUCUUCCCAUAGGAAUGCAUGGGUUAGGGUUAGGGUUAGGGUUGGAGUUAGGGUUAGUGUUGGAGCUAGGGUUAGGGUUGGGCUUGGAGCUAGGAUUUUUCUGAGUGCAAUGAACCAACUCCCGAGUCUCUAGGACGUUCCUAAAAAAAUUUGAUUUUUUUCCCCAUAGGAAUGCAUGGGUUAGGGUUAGGGUUAGGGUUGGAGCUAGGGUUAGGGUUAGGGUUAGGGUUGGAGUAAGGGUUAGUGUUGGAGCUAGGGUUAGGGUUGGGCUUGGAGCUAGGAUUUUUCUGAGUGCAAUGAACCAACUCCCGAGUCUCUAGGACAUUCCUAAAAAAAUUUGAUUUUUUUCCCCAUAGGAAUGCAUGGGUUAGGGUUAGGGUUAGGGUUGGAGCUAGGGUUAGGGUUAGGGUUAGGGUUGGAGUAAGGGUUAGUGUUGGAGCUAGGGUUAGGGUUGGGCUUGGAGCUAGGAUUUUUCUGAGUGCAAUGAACCAACUCCCGAGUCUCUAGGACAUUCCUAAAAAAAUUUGAUUUUCUUCCCAUAGGAAUGCAUGGGUUAGGGUUAGGGUUAGGGUUGGAGUUAGGGUUAGUGUUGGAGCUAGGGUUAGGGUUGGGCUUGGAGCUAGGAUUUUUCUGAGUGCAAUGAACCAACUCCCGAGUCUCUAGGACGUUCCUAAAAAAAUUUGAUUUUUUUUCCCAUAGGAAUGCAUGGGUUAGGGUUAGGGUUAGGGUUGGAGCUAGGGUUAGGGUUAGGGUUAGGGUUGGAGUAAGGGUUAGUGUUGGAGCUAGGGUUAGGGUUGGGCUUGGAGCUAGGAUUUUUCUGAGUGCAAUGAACCAACUCCCGAGUCUCUAGGACGUUCCUAAAAAAAUUUGAUUUUUUUCCCCAUAGGAAUGCAUGGGUUAGGGUUAGGGUUAGGGUUGGAGCUAGGGUUAGGGUUAGGGUUAGGGUUGGAGUAAGGGUUAGUGUUGGAGCUAGGGUUAGGGUUGGGCUUGGAGCUAGGAUUUUUCUGAGUGCAAUGAACCAACUCCCGAGUCUCUAGGACAUUCCUAAAAAAAUUUGAUUUUCUUCCCAUAGGAAUGCAUGGGUUAGGGUUAGGGUUAGGGUUGGAGUUAGGGUUAGUGUUGGAGCUAGGGUUAGGGUUGGGCUUGGAGCUAGGAUUUUUCUGAGUGCAAUGAACCAACUCCCGAGUCUCUAGGACGUUCCUAAAAAAAUUUGAUUUUUUUUCCCAUAGGAAUGCAUGGGUUAGGGUUAGGGUUAGGGUUGGAGCUAGGGUUAGGGUUAGGGUUAGGGUUGGAGUAAGGGUUAGUGUUGGAGCUAGGGUUAGGGUUGGGCUUGGAGCUAGGAUUUUUCUGAGUGCAAUGAACCAACUCCCGAGUCUCUAGGACGUUCCUAAAAAAAUUUGAUUUUUUCCCAUAGGAAUGCAUGGGUUAGGGUUAGGGUUAGGGUUGGAGCUAGGGUUAGGGUUAGGGUUGGAGUUAGGGUUAGUGUUGGAGCUAGCGUUAGGGUUGGGCUUGGAGCUAGGAUUUUUCUGAGUGCAAUGAACCAACUCCCGAGUCUCUAGGACGUUCCUAAAAAAAAUUGAUUUUUUCCCAUAGGAAUGCAUGGGUUAGGGUUAGGGUUAGGGUUGGAGCUAGGGUUAGGGUUAGGGUUAGGGUUGGAGUUAGGGUUAGUGUUGGAGCUAGCGUUAGGGUUGGGCUUGGAGCUAGGAUUUUUCUGAGUGCAAUGAACCAACUCCCGAGUCUCUAGGACGUUCCUAAAAAAAAUUGAUUUUUUCCCAUAGGAAUGCAUGGGUUAGGGUUAGGGUUAGAGUUGGAGCUAGGGUUAGGGUUAGGGUUAGGGUUGGGUUAGGGUUAGUGCCAACCCAAUUUUUCACCUUCCAGAAUAGUGUUAGGAGCACGUUUCAGGGCACGGGGAGUCUAUAGAACCUAAUUCUGGGGGAAGUUUUUUGAAAGGUUUACUUAGGGUUUGGGUUAGGGUUAGGGUUGGAGCUAGGGUUAAGGUUGGAGCUAGGGUUAGGGUUAGGGUUAGGAUUAGGGUGGAGCUAGGGUUAGGGUUAGGGUUAGAGCUAGGGUUAGGGUUGGGGCUAGGGUUAGGGUUAGGGUUAAGGUUGGAGCUAGGGUUAGGGUUAGGGUUAGGGUUGGAGCUAGGGUUAGGGUUAGGGUUAGGGUUGGAGCUAGGGUUAGGGUUAGGGUUGGAGCUAGGGUUAGGGUUGGGCUUGGAGCUAGGAUUUUUCUGAGUGCAAUGAACCAACUCCCGAGUCUCUAGGACGUUCCUAAAAAAAAUUGAUUUUUUUCCCAUAGGAAUGCAUGGGUUAGGGUUAGGGUUAGGGUUGGAGCUAGGGUUAGGGUUAGGGUUAGGGUUGGAGUUAAGGGUUAGUGUUGGAGCUAGGGUUAGGGUUGGGCUUGGAGCUAGGAUUUUUCUGAGUGCAAUGAACCAACUCCCGAGUCUCUAGGACGUUCCUAAAAAAAAUAGAUUUUUUCCCAUAGGAAUGCAUGGGUUAGGGUUAGGGUUAGGGUUGGAGCUAGGGUUAGGGUUAGGGUUAGGGUUGGAGUUAGGGUUAGUGUUGGAGCUAGGGUUAGGGUUAGGGUUAGGGUUGGAGUUAGGGUUUGUGUUGGAGCUAGGGUUAGGGUUGGGCUUGGAGCUAGGAUUUUUCUGAGUGCAAUGAACCAACUCCCGAGUCUCUAGGACGUUCCUAAAAAAAUUUGAUUUUUUCCCAUAGGAAUGCAUGGGUUAGGGUUAGGGUUAGGGUUGGAGCUAGGGUUAGGGUUAGGGUUGGAGUUAGGGUUAGUGUUGGAGCUAGCGUUAGGGUUGGGCUUGGAGCUAGGAUUUUUCUGAGUGCAAUGAACCAACUCCCGAGUCUCUAGGACGUUCCUAAAAAAAAUUGAUUUUUUCCCAUAGGAAUGCAUGGGUUAGGGUUAGGGUUAGUGUUGGAGUUAGGGUUAGGGUUAGGGUUAGGGUUGGAGUUAGGGUUAGUGUUGGAGCUAGCGUUAGGGUUGGGCUUGGAGCUAGGAUUUUUCUGAGUGCAAUGAACCAACUCCCGAGUCUCUAGGACGUUCCUAAAAAAAAUUGAUUUUUUCCCAUAGGAAUGCAUGGGUUAGGGUUAGGGUUAGAGUUGGAGCUAGGGUUAGGGUUAGGGUUAGGGUUGGGUUAGGGUUAGUGCCAACCCAAUUUUUCACCUUCCAGAAUAGUGUUAGGAG